This 375-nucleotide ribosomal RNA is filed under the name uncultured eukaryote. RNAcentral's name for it is "partial 18S ribosomal RNA". It matches the Rfam family "Eukaryotic small subunit ribosomal RNA", at positions 592 to 976 of the family's 1831-position model. The record is from RNAcentral.
CAAUAGCGUAUAUUUAAGUUGUUGCAGUUAAAAAGCUCGUAGUUGGAUUUCGGUUAAGAGCGACCGGUCCGCCGUUUGGUGUGCACUGGUUGGUUUUAACUUCCUGUAGAGGACGUGCUCUGGGUUUAACGACCUGGCCUCGGAGUCUACGUGGUUACUUUGAAAAAAUUAGAGUGUUCAAAGCGGGCUUACGCUUGAAUAUUUCAGCAUGGAAUAACACUAUAGGACUCCUGUCCUAUUUCGUUGGUCUCGGGACGGGAGUAAUGAUUAAGAGGAACAGUUGGGGGCAUUCGUAUUUCAUUGUCAGAGGUGAAAUUCUUGGAUUUAUGAAAGACGAACUUCUGCGAAAGCAUUUGCCAAGGAUGUUUUCAUUAA